CUGCACCAUGCCCACCUCUGUGCCCAGAGCUGCAGCAUCAAGUCACCCAUGGGUGGAAAAUCACAGAGGUGGGGCCUGCCUGGUCCAGAGCCCAGAGAUGGAAACGGUAGGGAGAGAGGGCGCCUGACACUUCCUAGCCUCCAGCAAGCCUGGAGAGGGGCGCAAGGCGUCCUUCUGCAUGUGGUAAAAUGCUUGGACUGAGUCUUGGAUGAUUGUGCCUAGCUCUAUCCUGCGACCAGCAAGCACUUGCUUUUCUAGAGGGAAGGGAAAGAAAGAGAAGGAACAAAGACCUGAGCUCCUCAAAGCCACCAGCUAGCUCAGCCUUCACGGAUUCAGCUCGGUCCUCUUGGCAAACUCUGAGAUGCUCAAGGAGGUCUUUGGAAUACUUCCAACUCUGAACGCUCCCCUCCAGGGAGUCCCCACUGUUCAAAGCCCCCGAGGAAUCUGAGUCACCUGCCCGUAGGCCUGGCUCUUCUGGGGGAGUCUAGAUCUGGUGGCCAGUGGCUACGGAUGAGCAGUGCCCCGUGCCCAGGCCAGGUACCCCUGCUGUCAGCUCCUAUGGCCCCUUUCUGAGCUCUGCUCCAUCCCUGCCUAGCCUGACAGCAGUUAGCAUGGUGGCCUCCCGAAAACACCAGGGAGCUGGAUGGAAGUCACAGGUCCCAGGACUACGAGGCCACUGCGGGGCCGGGAGUGGUGGCUGGGCACAGAGGCCCACUAUCCAAUGUGACAGAGAAGAACAGGCCCAGUUGCAGCCUCAGAAGAUGACUCCUUAGACACAGCUACGCUGCCAGCGACAGGGCCUGCCCAGCCAGCCCAGGCGGUCUGAAUCAGAACUCAAGACCCUCGAGAGCUUCCACGGCCCACGUGGGGCAGGGCACUGCUUAAGGGGGACUCUGGCAGGUCCAGGGAGCCACAGACAUGAAGCAAACGGUUGCCCUGCCUUGGCCGGGGCUCUCUUCCCAGACCCACGGCCGGGAGUUUUGCAGAUAUCUGGCCCUUCAGCUCCACCAGGAGGCAAAUUAAGGGAACACGCGUGGAAGGAGCUGAACCAGCCACAUUCGAACACUGUCUCUGAGCGAGCCCAGUGCAGAUAGCUGGGGCUAUGGCGUGACUGGGAAAAGGAAAGGGUUUUCCCAGAGCUGUCCUCAAGGAGCUGGAGUCGCUUGGUGGAGUUUCAGCCUCUGGGUGCCCUGGCUUGCCCUUGGCGAGGUGGUCCUGGAAGUGAAGUGACCAGGACUGGGAAAUGGCAAAGAUCGAAGAGGGGAGGCAGAGACUGGAGAAGCUAAACCAAGCAACAGCCUGAGACUAAGUGCCAAGUGUGUAAAUACAUUCUGGCCAAA
RNAcentral lists this long non-coding RNA (1340 nucleotides) under Homo sapiens (human). Its description in RNAcentral is "HSALNT0388064". The record is from RNAcentral. Lineage: Eukaryota; Metazoa; Chordata; Mammalia; Primates; Hominidae.